Molecule: non-coding RNA, 87 nt
Filed under: Klebsiella variicola
Lineage: Bacteria; Pseudomonadati; Pseudomonadota; Gammaproteobacteria; Enterobacterales; Enterobacteriaceae
Source: RNAcentral
GAGAGCCGGAUGCACUGAAAGGCGCACGUCCGGUUCGGAGAGGAGAGGCAGGGAAAUAGUCCGACUACGUCCUGCCUCUUACUCUAC